AGGAGUGGCGAACGGGUGAGUAACACGUGGGUAACCUGCCCAUCAGAAGGGGAUAACACUUGGAAACAGGUGCUAAUACCGUAUAACAAUCGAAACCGCAUGGUUUCGUUUUGAAAGGCGCUUUACGGUGCCGCUGAUGGAUGGACCCGCGGUGCAUUAGCUAGUUGGUGAGGUAACGGCUCACCAAGGCCACGAUGCAUAGCCGACCUGAGAGGGUGAUCGGCCACAUUGGGACUGAGACACGGCCCAAACUCCUACGGGAGGCAGCAGUAGGGAAUCUUCGGCAAUGGACGAAAGUCUGACCGAGCAACGCCGCGUGAGUGAAGAAGGUUUUCGGAUCGUAAAACUCUGUUGUUAGAGAAGAACAAGGGUGAGAGUAACUGUUCACCCCUUGACGGUAUCUAACCAGAAAGCCACGGCUAACUACGUGCCAGCAGCCGCGGUAAUACGUAGGUGGCAAGCGUUGUCCGGAUUUAUUGGGCGUAAAGCGAGCGCAGGCGGUUUCUUAAGUCUGAUGUGAAAGCCCCCGGCUCAACCGGGGAGGGUCAUUGGAAACUGGGAG
Molecule: ribosomal RNA, 562 nt
Filed under: Enterococcus mundtii
Lineage: Bacteria; Bacillati; Bacillota; Bacilli; Lactobacillales; Enterococcaceae
Description: bacterial SSU rRNA
Rfam family: Bacterial small subunit ribosomal RNA
Source: RNAcentral